AUGUACUACGACAUCGAGAUCAAGCUCGCCGUGGACAGGUCGAGGAACCGCGUGCUGUUCGCCAAAGCCGGCUCCGACUUCGUCGACGUCCUCCUCUCCUUCCUCACGCUGCCGCUCUCCGCCCUCCAGUCCUGCGCACCAUCUCCGGGGUGCCUCUCCAACCUCUGCAACAGCGUCGACCACCUCAGGAACAGCGGUCUGCUCGAGGUCGAGGCCUGCCAUGGCAAGCUUCUCACGCCUGCCCACACCGACGAGUUCGACGAAGAGUUCAGAAAAGAGGCGUUUGUACGUGGCACCGGACGGUUUGUGAUCAGUGAUGACAUGACAAUCAAGCCAGCAUCUACCAGAGUCAUACAGUCGCUGCCUCAGGCGUUCGGUUCUAAUGGAAUCGCCCAUGGCUUUGAGGAGCUCAAAGUGACCGUCAGCUGGUCUACCGUUUUAUUCAUGUUGAAGGCCUUCCUUUCUUCAGAUACCAUACUCACUGACGCAUUUCUAUCAAAUGAAUCUGAUACCAAGGUUGCUCAUGGCAGUACUAUGAAGGAGCAGAGCUCAGAAAGUUCUACUGCCGAUCAAGAUUCUGCAGGUUCUUCACCAGAAACCAAGAUCAAGGUUUUCUACGACACCUGUGAAAAGGAGGUCGUGUAUGCUGAAUGUAACAGCGAGUUCGUGGACCUGCUCCUGGGUUUCUUAACCUACCCUAUCAGCUGUGUGAUCAAGCACACAGGAGCCGGGCCUUACCAUCUUCGCAGGUGCUUCCAAAAUCUCUAUAGUGGCGUUGCAGAUCUCGCCAAUGCUGGGUGCUUCAAAGGUGGUCUCCCCAGUAUUUUGAGCAACAUCAUGUCUGGUCGGUGCCGACCGCUUGACUGCCGGUGUCGGAAGGACACGAUGCCAGAGCUAGCACCGUAUUGCUUCCAUCCUGAGAUUGUCAAGGAUCGGAGGUAUGUCAUAGGGGAUGAUCUACUUAUUUAUCAGGCCACUGCCAUGUCCAUGAUGAAGUACUGGUCUGGGAGGUACAAGGACAUGGUAAUGGAGAUGGACAUUACUGUCGGCAAGCAGGAGGCUGUUGCGCUGCUGCGAGCCGCGCUUACUUCGUCGAAGAAUGCACUGACCGAAGUGUUCAUUGACAAGCUGGAGAAAGAGUCCCUUCUACAGAAGAUCAGGAUAUUUGCCAAGAUCCCCUUGGGCAAGACCAUAACCGUGGAGGUCACGAGAUCCGACACCAUUGCCACCGUCAAGAGCGUCAAGGAGAAGGCGUCCAUUCCUGCAGGGUAUCCUCAUGAAUUGGUCUACGGUAGCAGAUAUCUUAAAGACAUGUCAACCGUUGCUGAUUACAAUCUUGUCAAAGAAUGUACCAUCACCAGCGAAUUUUUCAGGAAGUGA
RNAcentral lists this ribosomal RNA (1380 nucleotides) under Triticum aestivum (bread wheat). RNAcentral's name for it is "partial small subunit ribosomal RNA". The record is from RNAcentral. Lineage: Eukaryota; Viridiplantae; Streptophyta; Magnoliopsida; Poales; Poaceae.